Molecule: ribosomal RNA, 476 nt
Filed under: uncultured bacterium
Lineage: Bacteria
Description: bacterial SSU rRNA
Rfam family: Bacterial small subunit ribosomal RNA
Source: RNAcentral
AGGACGAACGCUGGCGGCGUGCUUAACACAUGCAAGUCGAGCGAUGAGGCUUCUUCGGAAGUGGAUUAGCGGCGGACGGGUGAGUAACACGUGGGUAACCUGCCUCAUAGAGGGGAAUAGCCUUUCGAAAGGAAGAUUAAUACCGCAUAAGAUUGUAAUGUCGCAUGACGUAGCAAUUAAAGGAGUAAUCCGCUAUGAGAUGGACCCGCGUCGCAUUAGCUAGUUGGUGAGGUAACGGCUCACCAAGGCGACGAUGCGUAGCCGACCUGAGAGGGUGAUCGGCCACAUUGGGACUGAGACACGGCCCAGACUCCUACGGGAGGCAGCAGUGGGGAAUAUUGCACAAUGGGGGAAACCCUGAUGCCAGCAACGCCGCGUGAGUGAUGACGGUCUUCGGAUUGUAAAGCUCUGUCUUUAGGGACGAUAAUGACGGUACCUAAGGAGGAAGCCACGGCUAACUACGUGCCAGCCGCCGC